GACGAACGCUGGCGGCGUGCUUAACACAUGCAAGUCGAACGGAAAGGCCCUGCUUUUGUGGGGUGCUCGAGUGGCGAACGGGUGAGUAACACGUGAGUAACCUGCCCUUGACUUUGGGAUAACUUCAGGAAACUGGGGCUAAUACCGGAUAGGAGCUCCUGCUGCAUGGUGGGGGUUGGAAAGUUUCGGCGGUUGGGGAUGGACUCGCGGCUUAUCAGCUUGUGGGUGGGGUAGGGGCUUACCAAGGCUUUGACGGGUAGCCGGCCUGAGAGGGUGACCGGCCACAUUGGGACUGAGGUACGGCCCAGACUCCUACGGGAGGCAGCAGUGGGGAAUAUUGCACAAUGGGCGGAAGCCUGAUGCAGCAACGCCGCGUGCGGGAUGACGGCCUUCGGGUUGUAAACCGCUUUCGCCUGUGACGAAGCGUGAGUGACGGUAAUGGGUAAAGAAGCACCGGCUAACUACGUG
Molecule: ribosomal RNA, 468 nt
Filed under: uncultured bacterium
Lineage: Bacteria
Description: partial 16S ribosomal RNA
Rfam family: Bacterial small subunit ribosomal RNA
Source: RNAcentral